UCUGUUUUAGAACAAAGAAAAUUAAUUAAUUCAUUAAUUAAUUACAACUUAUUUUCGAUUUCAAUUUAAUUUUCGGUUGUAUUAUGGAAUUUUAGAGAUCCUACUAUAUGCUCAAAGUUCAAUAUGGAUUCAUUAGAUUCACAUUCUGAUGUGAAAAGACGUAAAUUCGACUUGACGUUUCCAAAUGAUGACAUCGAGGAUGCAAUUCGUUACUUGAAAAGUUUAAACGACUUGGAUAAAAUAGAAAAUCCGAUCAUCUUCAUGGAAGAAUAUUAUCGUGAACAUAGAAAAGGAAGAACCACUCGAAUCAAACACGAUGAAAACUUACGACCAUUAGUGAUAUUACGAGGUUCGAAUUGGGGCAAGACCCACCUCGCCAAGUACAUAAUGUUUUACCUCUCGUGUUGUAUGAAGGAUGGAGAUCUUCAAAGAUGGAAGAAACCAGAUGAAUUUUUAUUGGGAAAAGAGAAAUAUCAUUUGCGCGGUGAUGAUAUAUGUUUUGCGAACAUCAGAGGAGGUCGACGUUCCUGCGAGUUGUCCCUGAGUCAUGCAGAAAGGGGUUCGUUGUAACUGCAGAUGAUGAUGAGGGCCUAAAUUAUGAAGAAAAUAUUCGUAUUCGAAUUUUUGUGGGAAUAUCCAGUACCCUUAUCUUCUGCUAAACCGGCUAUUUGAACCAAAGUUGCAAUUUCCAUUAUUACAUUAUGCAACCAACGUUUUGUGGCGGUUAAAAAGAACCGGUUCUAAUGGCAAAUGGUAUGGAGUGUGAUUUCCUUUGGUUUCUGAAGAAUAAAGCAGGUGUUAAAUUUCGCUGAGUUGAUUUUGCGAAUACGAUGAUGAAAAAUUCAGUUCGAAUUGCAAUAGCUCAGGAUGAUGUUCGAAUGCGAUUUUUUUUCUACUGGUUUUCCGAGAAUGAACCAGAUGUUAAAUUUCACUGAGACGGUUUGGCGAACACGAUGACGAAUUUUGAGUUCGAAUUGCAGUAGCUCCGGAUGAUGUUCGAGUGCGGUUUUUUUCUACUGGUUUCCGGAGGUUCGUUGUAACUGCAGAUGAUGAUGAGGGCCUAAAUUAUGAAGAAAAUAUUCGUAUUCGAAUUUUUGUGGGAAUAUCCAGUACCCUUAUCUUCUGCUAAACCGGCUAUUUGAACCGAAGUUGCAAUUUCCAUUAUUACAUUAUGCAACCAACGUUUUGUGGCGGUUAAAAAGAACCGGUUCUAAUGGCAAAUGGUAUGGAGUGUGAUUUCCUUUGGUUUCUGAAGAAUAAAGCAGGUGUUAAAUUUCGCUGAGAUGAUUUUGCGAAUACGAUGAUGAAAAAUUCAGUUCGAAUUGCAAUAGCUCGGGAUGAUGUUCGAAUGCGAUUUUUUUUCUACUGGUUCUCCGAGAAUGAACCGGAUGUUAAAUUUCACUGAGACGGUUUGGCGAACACGAUGACGAAUUUUGAGUUCGAAUUGCAGUAGCUCCGGAUGAUGUUCGAGUGCGGUUUUUUUCUACUGGUUUCCGGAGAAUGAACCGGAUGUUAAAUUUCACUGAGAUCGUUUGGCGAACACGAUGACGAAUUUUGAGUUCGAAUUGCAGUAGCUCAGGAUGAUGUUCGGGUACAAUUUUUUUCCUACUGGUUUCUGGAGAUGUUUCAGAAUGAACCAGAUGUUAAAUUUCGCUGAGAUGAUUUUGCGAAUACGAUGAUGAAAAAUCGAGUUCGAAUUGCUGUAGCUCAGGAUGAUGUUCCAGUUCAAUUUUUUUUCUACGGUUCCUGGAGCAGGUUGAUGAUCAGAUGCUGUAGAAAUGAUGUUCGAGUUUUAUUUAUCAAGACUUUUCAAAUGGGUAAACGUUGUUUUUAUCGAACAGUGAUUGAACUUUGCGGAAUGCAAUCAACGAUUGAAGAAGUCAUGGGGAAUGGCUCAUCAUGAAAAAAUCUUUUGUUACGUUUUCCAGGUAACAUAGUAUUGUUGUGCAUUUCAAUUGCCCAAGAUAUCUCGGGAUUAGUUUUAUUACGUAUAUAUGAUCUAAGUGAACUUGAAUUUUAAGUUUGUCAAUGUGAUCCGUUUUUCUGGCAAUGCUUUGAUAUCCAUUGGAGACUUUUAGAUUUUUAAGCAAUUUUUAUCUCGCAUGAGCCUUUUAUUGGUCGCCAUGCACCAAUAUGAUACACUUUCACUUCAGAUUUCAUCGCUAUCGUUUGUAAAAAGUCAACAAACAUGAUGUUAUCUUAAUCUUUAUCCGCAUUCGCGUGAAUUUAGAUUCAUAUCCGGCUGUUUUUAAAAAACUUUAUCGUUUUAUAUGGGUGUUUCGAAGUACACGAGAUCAAUUUUUUUCCUGAUCACCGAGUAGGUUAUUGGUGGUAACUCAAUUGAAACAAAAAUCAUUUUCACAUAACUAGUUUUCCUAUUCAAGAAUACUUAAACUAUUCGUCAAGUAUUACGUAUUAGUUCAACGAGUCGACAUCCCUAAAGUGGAUUCUCAAUGAAUGAAUUUCCAGGGCUAGUACUCUCGGUUAUAAGUUACUAAAAUUACUAAAAGUAACUUUUGGUAAUUUUUUCAAAAUUUGGGUUACUGAAGUUACUUCUUUUUGAAAAUUUUCCGAAUUUUUCAAAUCCCCUAAAAAAAAUUUAUACGAGUAUCUAGAUAUUUAUGCCAAAAAUGCUGUGGAGAUAGGGGUCGGACAGGAGAAUAAUAUCUGCUUUUUGUUGGGUUGCGAACGCAUGGAUCAGCAAAGUGCUCAUCGAAUCAUGAUUCGCAUUAAACUGGAACGUACUAAGAUUACUCGUCAUAUUGAGAGUCUUUAUCUGAUCCUCCAUCCAUUACUGGAGCUUUGUAAAGUCAAAACUAUCCAUUUAUUUUCUCGAUAUGUUUGUUCAAAAUUGGACAACAAUACUGGCCAGUGCUAUGAUUGGUAGCGGUAACUCUUUUAUAGAAUGCUGUGUCUGUAAUAAUAUUCUAGAAAGUUUCUCAAAAUUCAGAAAAAAAUCAUACAAAACUUCAAAACAUUUGAACAUAAUAAGAAAUCAAUAAUAUCAUCUUUUAUUUACACAUGUAAGUAAUACACAUUAUUAUACCUUUCGUUUUUUUUGCUGCAGGUUUUUCAGCUCUAAAAACCUUUUUCUAGAAACCUCGGAUACAUUGAUCGUAUUAAUUGUUAAGUUUUCAAAUCCUGCUUCCGUCACUUUUUUGAUAACUGUUUGUAACUUGACAGGAAACGGAAUGGAGAAUUCCACAGUAUGUUCUGCUUUCUGUUGAAUUAACAAAAAAAAAAACGAACAUUAAUUUUUGAAACUAUAAAUGAAAAAAAAAAUCAAAAAUGAGACAAUUGAAUAAAAACUUACUUUCUCUAUCUUAACAUUCGACCAGGAUGACUCGUCGAAGAUGUUCUCCAAUAUAUAAAUGUAUUAAAAUCUGCUUUGAAAAGCUUGAUUGAAUGAUCAAUUUUGGCAUUUUGAGCUAGGACUUCAAAACUACUCUUUGAAUUUGCAUUGCCAGUCCUCUCAGUUCUUUACUAUGUAAAGUAUUUGUUUUAUGGUCAAACCCUUACUGUUUAAGUUACUUCAUUUGCAUGAUGAUCCUCGACUUUUGCCUUGUAAUAGUCUCUGAAUAUCUUGAAAUAUGAGAUUCCACUGGGAUUCACUUAAAAUUACAUCAUCUGGAUUUUUAGCAUGACUUAUCUUCUCUGGAGUGCUCUGGUACAACAUAGUUGAAGUGUUAGCAAAACGUUCCAAAGUAAUGAUUGCAGGGUUGCGAAUGUGAUUCUUAAUCGUCACCGCUUCUGGUGUCAGCUCAAAGUAAAUGGUAUUUGUGAUCUUAAACAGGCAAGAGAAAUCAGCUUGAGCGGUCUUAAGCUGUAAUGUGAGAGUGUCCUGAAACAUGACAAAAAAUAUUUCAAUAAUGGGUACUGAGACCUUAGAUAGGUAGAUGAACUUAUCUUAAACCCUAUAUAAAUGAUUAAUUGAGGAAUGAUUAUGAAAAAAAGUUAUCAUUACCUUUUCAAGGUGUAAAAUAUGGUUGGAGUGUAUAAGCGCUUCAGCAUUGUUAUGUUGCCGAAAAAAUUCAAGUGUUCAAAAAUAAAAAUAAUAUAAAUACAAGCAUGUGAAAAUUACAAUUAAAAUUACCUUGAUAGAAUUUGCAACAAUUUGCGAGAAUGGUUAAAAACAAACAAUUUGCGAAUAUAAUUAAACGAAUAGAAAAUGACUUGAGUUAUUAAUUAUUGUUAAAAUCACACAAUUAAAUAAAAAUGAAAAAUUCAACUCAAGCCAGUAAAAAAUUAGAAACUUGUAAAAUCUUUGUAUUGGAAUUUAAAUAAUUAAUAAUUCCUGCUGUUUUUUCAUCAGUUUUAUGAAAUUUUGUAUUUUAUCGGUCAGUGUUUGUAUUGCCAACCUUAAAUUUUCGAUACUUACUCAAUAUAAGCGAAUCAGUGUCCGUGUAAAGGAGUUCAGAUAAUUUUGUGGCUUGAAAAAUUAAAAAUGAAUACCCACUGAAUUUUCUAAAAAAAAAAAUUUAAAUGAUGGUUUUGCUAUGUUCUCAAAUAAUUUGAUAAUAAUUGGAAGCUCUUUAUUACAUCAAUUCUUAUACAAUUGUUAAAGUUUUACCUUAAACACUUGUGAAAUGAAAUAAUUGGAAAAUAGAAAAGUGAAUGAAUUCACCAUAUAAGAAUAUCGAGUUAAAUAUUUAGUAUAAGUAUUUUAAUUAUACACUCCGCACUCGCGAAAAGAAUUGAUUUAGAAAAUUUGGAAGAUCGAGUGAAUUUACAAAAUAAAAUGUAUAGUCACAAAAAUAUGAAUUACACAAAAUUUGAAAGUGAAUUAUUAAUAUUUAUAUAAAAACUAUUAACACGAAAUAAAAUACCAAAUAAAAAUAUCAGUAACACCAAAAACUUAGUAAAAUCAACUUGGUUAAAUAUAUAUUAGAUAUUGGAAUGAGAGAUGUCAGGUUACUAACUGUACAACUAUAUUACAAAGAUGCUACUUGAUGAGCUUUACUUGACUAACUGUACUGUCAAAAUCGUCUGAAGAACUGUCAUUGGACAAAUCAAAAGGUAUUGUACUCACUCAUGAUCAACUGAGGUAUCACCAUCUUCAUCAUCCGUUCCAUCCAAUGCAUCCUAGAAUAAAUAAAAGCCUAUGGAAAACUUCACUUUUUAACUAAAACUUAUUAUUCAUUUUACCAUGAAAUUAAAAGUUCAAUGCUCAAGUUUGGAAAUGCCUGUCUGUGGCCAACAGAAGAUAUGCCGUAUACUCACAAGGCAAAUUCCACAGUUCGAGGUCGAGUUCCUCCAUCUCUUUGAUCUGUGACUUGGCCCGAGUUUGUCAAACAUGCUUUCUUAGCUUUCAGGCUUGAUGGCAAAAUACCAUCUAUAAUUUCGUCUAAAUUGAAAUAUCCGUCAUAAAGAAUUGUGAAAAAUUCUUUAUCCGUUUUUUUGGGUGAAUUUUCUAUAUUACUGUAAUGGAGGUUUAAAAUUUUUACCAUAAUUGUCCAAUCAUGUGGACUUAGAAUUUCCGGGUGGUCAGGUUGGUACAGUUUUAGAAUAUUAUCUAAAUUUCUAAAUCUGUGUUUAACUAUUUGUGAGGGAAUCAAAUUUUCGUUGUCAUAAAUUUGGAUUGUUUUUACUUUAUCGUGGGCUCUUUCAGAAAAAUAUAGGAAAAAAUUUUCUUUUAAAUCAGUUACAAUUUUUUUAGGAAGCCAGAACAAAUUUUUUUCAUGUAUUAAUACAAGGGGUUCAGGGGUUUUAUAAAAAAGGGAUAUUUCGCCAGCUGCCUGGCAAUACAAGGUUGUUGGAUUUUUUGACAUUUUUUUUAAAUAAAUUUUUUAAAAACAAAAAAAAACAACAAAAAUUCCAAAAAAAUUGAAAAUAAGUUCAAAUAUUGAUUUAUAGAAACUGAAAAAAAAAUGAAAGUAGGUAAUUUUUUAAAAACAAACAAAAUUGAAAAGACAGAGAAUUUUAAAACCCUGAUAGGCUGAUUGAGCUUCAGAUAACCUGUGUUGAAUAGAUUUAGACACUGAAGCCGUCAUGAAUUGUAGUGCUUGAGCAUCAAGCACCACUCUUUUGGAUGGAGAAACCUUCACUGUUUCACCUUCUUCAGACUCAAUAAAAGGAAGUAAGCUUAGAGCUUUUAAAUCUAACUCAAUCAUAGUUUUCCAUUAUGGGUGAAAAUAGUGGUGAAAGCAUACAUAUCGUCGAUAGGGAAAUGGUCAGAAAAUAGUCGUUAUUCGAGAGAUUGACAAGAUGACAUAAAUUUUAUAGUUAUUAUUAAAAAUUAUAAAUUAGUUUUUAUUAAAAUUCAAUUUAAAUAAAUUAUUUAUUUUUCAUUAAAUAGCCAUAGCUAAUUUUAUAUUGCAACGAGGGCCAUAAAGGGGGUGAUAAAUAUGUACAAAAGUAUAAUGCAACUUAGUAGUUGCAAUUAGUUGCUGGCAACUUAACACCUCCCCCCUGGUAAAAAAUUUUUUACAUGAAAAAUUUCAAAAAUUGAUAUAAGACUAGAAGAUGUCUAUAUAAUAAGAAAUAUAAAUUAACUAGAUAAUACAUAUAAUUAGAAAAAUUGAAAUUUUAAAAUUACACAAUAUUUUAAAUCUACACUAGGUAUUUACACUAGCUCCUCCCUGCAAUCUGAACCUUCUUUACAUUUGGGGUUGUCACACAUUCUAUCAUUAAUCAAAUCUGGAAUUGAAUCGCAGCUUAUUCCUCCCGCUGGAUAUCUUAUUGUUGAUGGACCUGGUUGUGCUGUGUUUAGUGUGGGACUAGAUGGAGCCAUUAGUCCAAUCUCAUCAAGUAGAAUUGUAUUUAGUUUUUGGGUUUCCAAAAAAUCUUCCUCUAGUUUCAAGUGGGAUUUCAGGUUCGAUAUCCCUGGUUAGAUUGGUCAUCAGGCUGACCCUGUGGUCGUUCUCCGGCACGUAUUCCAUUUGAGCCAAAUACUUCUGUAUUCAGCUGUAAUAAAAAAUUUGAUUUGAAAUUUUAAAAAAAAAUUAAUUUACGCUGUCAAGUUGAUUUAUCUUCUGUCUCCACUUCAUCUUCGUGUCCUCUAACUCCUUGGACAUUUGAUCUACCCACUCUCUCAUUUUAAACAAUACACCACAAAAAAAAAACAAAAGGAAAAAAACUAAAAAUUUAAAAUGUACACAAACAAGACAAUUAGAGUCAGUGCAAUUUAUUUAGGCGACUGAGCGUUCAAAAUCGCGUAAGCAGUAACCAACGAGAACUACGAGAAGCAACAUAUGUCUGUCCAUCGUUGGUCCAUCAAAAAAAAAAUUGAAAAUUACCACUCUUACCCAACUUUUUCCAAGGGCAUGUCUCACUUGAGCAGGGCUGACAACAGGCUCCACAUUAAAGAGUCCAACAACAGGUCCCUUGUUACAGUGGUAGUUUUGAACAGACACAUGCUUGAGUUCACGUAGAGUAGGAAAGUUGACACAAUAGUACUGUUUUCGUUUUAAAUAUAAAUUACGCAAAAACAAGUUGCAAAAAUAAAAUAACAUAGAUACAUAUUCACAAAGAAAUGAUUUUAAAAAAUCACCCCACACACAACGUUGUUAAAAAAAAAAUUAUAUGAAACUGUCUUGCUGAGCUAGGCUGUGAAUAAGCUGCUCCUGUUCACCUUUUGGGGGGGGGGGUGGCGACUCCGAACAGGGCAGAAUUCCCUACCAAUGUGAUACUUUUUAGAAACUUUCAUAUUCAAAUAUUCAGUGAAAUUGUGAGCUAGCUCUCACAUUUUGGUAGUGGUUAAACCAUAACUAAGAUUACUUACAGCUUGUAUAUUAGAAAAAAAUGGUUUUGAAAUUUAUCUCAAUGAUAAUUUUUUUUAAAAUCAAUUUUAAUUUCGGUUCUUGGAUAGUAUUUAAAGGGAUUUUUCAAAUUGGCUAUUAUAAUCCUACAUUGCUCAUAUGUCAGUUGGGUAUUAUGAAAUCUAUUUCUUAUGUGUUCUUUUUUUUGAACAAAAUCGGAAUAUUCAUGGGGAGGGUAUAUUGAGGCUGUUGGGUAGAUUUUACAAUAAUAACAGUUGAAAUUUUGUGUCAGAAUUUUUUCGGCGAUAUCCGUGACAUUAGUGUAUUCUAGGUACAUUUUGUGUACCAUCACUUUAUUGAUAUUUUGAGGGAGUGGCAACCUGCGGGCAUAUUCAUAGCAUCUUUUACAGCUAUGAACAGAUGGCAAAAUACCAUCUAUAAUUUCGUCUAAAUUGAAAUAUCGGUCAUAAAGAAUUGUGAAAAAUUCUUUAUCCGUUUUUUUGGGUGAAUUUUCUAUAUUACUGUAAUGGAGGUUUAAAAUUUUUACCAUAAUUGUCCAAUCAUGUGGACUUAAAAUUUCCGGGUGGUCAGGUUGGUACAGUUUUAGAAUAUUAUCUAAAUUUCUAAAUCUGUGUUUAACUAUUUGCGAGGGAAUCCAAUUUUUGUUGUCAUAAAUUUGGAUUGUUUUUACUUUAUCAUGGGCUCUUUCAGAAAAAUAUAGGAAAAAAUUUCCUUUUAAAUCAGUUACAAUUUUUUUAGGAAGCCAGAACGAAUUUUUUUCAUGUAUUAAUACAAGGGGUUCAGGGGUUUUUAAAAAAAGGGAUAUUUCGCCAGCUGCCUGGCAAUACAAGGUUGUUGGAUUUUUUGACAUUUUUUUAAAAUAAAUUUUUUAAAAACAAAAAAAAACAACAAAAAUUCCAAAAAAAUUGAAAAUAAGUUCAAAUAUUGAUUUAUAGAAACUGAAAAAAAAUUGAAAGUAGGUAAUUUUUUAAAAACAAACAAAAUUGAAAAGACAGAGAAUUUCAAAACCCUGAUAGGCUGAUUGAGCUUCAGAUAACCUGUGUUGAAUAGAUUUAGACACUGAAGCCGUCAAGAAUUGUAGUGCCUGAGCAUCAAGCACCACCCUUUUGGAUGGAGAAACCUUCACUGUUUCACCUCCUUCAGACUCAAUAAAAGGAAGUAAGCUUAGAGCUUUUAAAUCUAACUCAAUCAUAGUUUUCCAUUAUGGGUGAAAAUAGUGGCAAAAGCGUACGUAUCGUCGAUAGGGAAAUGGUCGGAAAAUAGUCGUUAUUCGAGAGAUUGACAAGAUGACAGAAAUUUUAUAGUUAUUAUUAAAAAUUAUAAAUUAGUUUUUAUUAAAAUUCAAUUUAAAUAAAUUAUUUAUUUUUUAUUAAAUAGCCAUAGCUAAUUUUAUAUUGCAACAAGGGCCAUAAAGGGAAUGAUAAAUAUGUACGAAAGUAUACUUAUGCAACUUAGUAGUUGCAAUUAGUUGCUGGCAACUUAACACCUCCCCCCUUGGAAAAAAAUUUUUACAUAAAAAAUUUCAAUAAUUGAUAUAAGACUAGAAGAUGUCUAUAUAAUAAGAAAUAUAAAUUAACUAGAUAAUACAUAUAAUUAGAAAAAUUGAAAUUUUAAAAUUACACAAUAUUUUAAAUCUACACUAGGUAUUUACACUAGCUCCUCCAUGCAAUCUGAACCUUCUUUACAUUUGGGGUUGUCACACAUUAUAUCAUUAAUCCGAUCUGGAAUUGAAUCACAGCUUCCUCCUGCUGGAUAUCUUAUUGUUGAUGGACCUGGUUGUGGUGUGUUUAGUGUGGGACUAGAUGGAGCCAUUAGUCCAAUCUCAUCAAGUAGAAUUGUAUUCAGUUUUUGGGUUUCCUUUUUAAUCUUCCUCUACUUUCAAGUGGGAUUUCAAGUUCGAUAUCCUCUCUAGUGGGCGUAUAUUCUUCAUCCUUUUGCGUGCAAUUUGUAAUUGCUUUUGCUAUGAAGCAAUUUGUGAAACAUUGAGCACAAUUAGAAUUUGUUGGAAUGGGGGCUUCAAUUGGAACUCUUUGGUAGGUAAGGGUAUUUUUUGCUUUUUCUUUCCUUAAUUAAUGCAUUGAAUUAGAAGUUUCAAAAUGAAGAUUGUAAUAAUGAAAGUGUUAUGUUCCUUCACUAAAAAAAAUUGAAAAUACGUAUACUUAAUGGAAAUAAUUUUAAUCAUGCAAUUUUAGAAAUUAAAAAUUGUCACUGAAUAAAAAUGAAAAAAAAUUUACAACAUGCAUAAAAUAAAUAUUAAAAUUAACUUACAUUAAAACUGGAUUCAUAUUGGUUUAAAUUUGACAAUUAAAAUUGACGCAAUAUCGUAAUUUGGCGAAUUCUGGAAAUAGACACUGCUGGCAACUCGCAAAUUGGAUAUUUGAUUAAAAUUGACAAAUUUUGGAGUGUGCGUAAAUUGGCGAAAAUUUAAUUAAUUGACUAGAAUUUGAGAGCAACAAGUUCCUUUAAUGAAUCUCUUCAAUAACCAAAAAAUAAUUCGAACUUAGGCGGAAAAACAAACUUUUUACUGCUAUUCUCGAUGAUUUCGAAUAAAAAAUUUAAAAUGGUAAAAGAAAACUUUGAAUAUUUUACAACCGAAUGACAGAGCGGACUCAAGCACAGAGACUGACUGAUAGAAAUACUGGACAUGAAUUUAGCGAUUUUGGGGGUUUAUAUGUAAAAAGGGUCGAAAAAUGGCAGAAAAUCGUGGUGCCAGUCAGUCGGAGGGUUUAUUUUGUUCUAUGUCUAAAGGAGGCCAAAUACUGUACUCAAGUACAUAUAUAGCCAAGAUCUGCCAUCCAAUCAUAAAAUUAUGAUUAAUAUCGUAGAUGGUGUGGUUACACCAAACACAGAUUAACAUGUCCUGAAUAUUUCUAAUGGUAUUUUCUACCAAAUUUAUGAUGUCCAUUUUAUAUUACAUACUUACUAUUAUUUGUAUGAAUGAUGUGACCUACCCUUGCCACAAAAACUUUCAGACCUGCUGAGUUCAGAACCAAAAAAAAAAAAUUCCCUUACCUAAAUACCCAAACAAAUUGUUGUCAUUGGAAAUGGAAACUCCAAGCUGGACAUUACAGUUUUCCGCCUGUUGCCUUCAAAAAUGCCUCCAAUCUUUGAAAUCUGACUUCUCUUAGCUCCAUUUUUUCUUCUUUUUUCUCUAUGAAUCUGAAGUAUAAAAAAAAAGUAUAUAUAAAUGAUAGAACUUGUUUAGAACUUGUUUAUUGGAAUCUUCUUUGAGUUUCCCUUGAAUAGACCAGGUGUUUCCUCAGGUUCUGACUGGAUACCAAGUUAGAAGGAAAGCGACGGCAGAACUCGUACAGACUGGAUACCGAAUAGAGUACGGGUUGAAAAAAAUGUAAAACAGAGAUUUAGAAAAAUGGAAAUGAAAAAUAUUUUAUGUGUGAUGCCUCGGUCAAUUCGUUUGACGAUUCUGUUGAAAAAUAUUUGGCCAAAUUGCAACAAGACUGUUGCCAAGUUGCAUAACAUAGAAGUUCUAUUAGACCUGAAUACUGUAAUUAUUCCGAAACAACCACUUCAUCUUCGUGUCCUCUAACUCCUUGGACAUUUGAUCUACCAACUCUCUCAUUUUAAACAAUACACCACAAAAAAAACAAAAAACAAAAGGAAAAAAACUAAAAAUUUAAAAUGUACACAAACAAGACAAUUACAGUCGGUGCAAUUUAUUUAGGCGACUGAGCGUUCAAAAUCGCGUAAGCAGUAACCAACAAGAACUACGAGUAGCAACAAAUGUCUGUCCAUCGUUGGCCCAUAAAAAAAAAUUAAAAAUUACCACUCUUACCCAGCUUUUUCCAAGGGCAUAUCUCACUUGAGCAGGGCUGACGACAGGCUCCACAUUAAAGAGUCCAAUGACAGGUCCCUUGUUACAGUGAUAGUUUUGAACAGACACAUGCUUGAGUUCACGUAAAGAAGCAAACUUGACACAAUAGUACUGUUUUUGUUUUAAAUAUAAAUUACGCAAAAACAAGUUGCAAAAAUAAAAUAACAUAGAUACAUAUUCACAAAAAAAUGAUUUAAAAAAAUCACCCCACACACAACAUUGUUAAAAAAAAUCACAUGAAACUGUCUUUCUGAGCUAGGCUGUGAAUAAGCUGCUCCUGUUCACCUGUUUGGGGGGGAGGGGGAGAUGGCGGCUCGGAACAGGUCAGAAUUUCCUACCAAUGUGAUACUUUAUAGAUACUUUCAUAUUCAAAUAUUCAGUGAAGUUGUGAGCUAGCUCUCGCAUUUUGGUAGUGGUUAAACUAUAACUGAGAUUACUUACAGCUUGUAUGAUAUGCAGAUGAUUGUCCCUACAUAUUGUUACAACUUUAACAGAGAUUGUAUUUUUAAAAAGAUUUAUUUGUUCGGCUCCACAUCGGAAUCCGAACCACACAGGUUAAAGUCACAACAAUGAAUACAGACGAAACUGUAUCUGAUUAACAUAGAAUAACUCUAGAAGAAGUCUGCCUAUUCCUAUGAUAGUUGUUACAUUGUAGAUGUUCUGAAUAAAAAUUUUAAAUAAACUAAUGAUGAAGUUAGACAGAGUACCAAUAAAUGUGACGCGUCCGACUUUCCACAGAUUUGGAAAAUGUCCGCUGGAGACUCACUGAUUAAAUAUCUCUGGAAGGAUAUCUGGUUUGGUGAGGUUAAGGGCUUUAACAACCUUGUAACCGAGACCAUCUGGUCCAGGUGCGCUGCGGUUGUUGGUUGUCUUUAAAAUACUGGACACCGCUUCGCAGGUAAUAACAUGACGUAACAUAACCAAAUUCAUUCUUUCUUCCGAUUGCGGAAUUCUUUUAUGGCAGCUUUUCUGGCGUCAUCGCCCAAACGAUAGUCUACCAUCCCUAAAAAGAAAAAAAAAUCAUUAAAUUAUUGAACAAUAAAUUUAAUUUUAAAUUUUAAAUUUCCUGAAAAAUGAUAUACAAAUUCUUACUUACUUCACGUUUCAAUCGUUCUUUUUAUCCUAUUGAUAUCAGUAUGUUAGAUUUGGCAAAGAGACAAAAAAAAAUCCAGGUUGAAGACAGGAAUCAGUGACAGAAAAAGAUCGAAUCAUUAUCUAAUUAAAUAAAUUUUUGAUGAAAAAACAAAUUAUUGAACAUAAUAUGUAUAACGAGAAUUUACAUAUAAGGAAUAGGCGCAACAUUGGCUACCUUUUAAAUAUAAUUUUGUUUAGUUCCAGGCUCUAGUAGAUUUUUGGGUAUUUUAGUUUACUACUAUACUUCCCAAUAGAUGCAAACGUUUUGGGAGGAUGGCAGAAGUUACUUUGAAAUCUAACUGUAACAUCAAUUAUAAUGAUAAAUGAAACCAAAAAUUUUGAAAUUUGCCCACAUCGGCUAAUUCUGGGAUGAAAAAAUAUUCUCACUAAAAUUAUCAAAUAUGCCAAAAAUGAUUAAAGAUGUUAUAAUACAAUUUACUAAUGUAUGUAUGUAACCCAAAUUUGUUCAAAAUCAAAUCGACAUAAAUAAUACCCGAGAGUAAAGAAAAAUAUGUCGUUUUAGACAUGUUUUCGAUGUUUACUAGUGUACUUAAAAAAUCCACUAUAGUGUGAGGCAUCCUUUGAAAUCUUGCACAAAUAAACCUGCAGCCAUGGUUUCAAAAUCUUUUUGGGUGCUGAAUGGAAUGGCAUACCUAUUGAUUAACAAAACAUAUUAUAUAGUGAUUAAAAUUUAAACAAAGUCAUGUCAUAACUAUCAAACACUGCAAAUAUUUAUAUUUUAUUUUUAUGGUUGCAAGUAACAAUAAAUAUGCAUAAUAUGAAUACUAGAAAAAAUAAAAACAACAAUACUGAUAAAUUAAGUAGAUGGGUAGUUGACUAGAAGACAAAAGCAAUGAAAUUCAUUAAAAAAAUGAACUUAGAGCAAAAAUAUGAAUGAUGCAAACAUUCAGGGACUGUCUAGAAAAGUACUAGACACUAUAGAUAUUAGUCUCCAAGGUGCUCUCAUUCUCAUUUUCGUCCUCAUCGCUGCUACUAGAUAGUGCUAUUGGAUGUACAUAUCUAAUCAUCUUCCGCCUCUUCCUGAUCUGGAUUUCUUUAUUUCUUGCACUCUGAAAGAAUUAAAUAAUGAAUUAAAAUGAAAAAUAAAUGUAUUCAAGUACUUGACAUUACAAAACGAUGAUUGCCAGUCCCUCCCAUACUUUUGCUGGACUACAAAAAUGCUUCCAAUUUUGUCUAAGUUUCCCUUGACUUCCUUAUGUUGUAAUUUUGCUUGUUCCGGAUGUAUUCCAGUAGGGGAGUUUCGCCGGUUCUGAGCCACCCCCCGCAGGAGCAAUGCUUCCUGUGCUCCUGUGGCUCCUGCGAGGGGUGGAUUUCAAUGUUAAUUUGUGGCUCAGAAAUGUUUGCUCCUGCGAGAGCUAAUUUUUUUCAAUUUGCUCCUGUAAGAGCAAGAUUUUUUCCUAGUGGCCGAAAAUUUUAAAGAAAACGGGUCUCCAUUUUACAUUUACCACCGAAUUGACUUUCUUAAUGGGUCCCCUACCCAUCCCCCCUCUCCCUCGCAAUAAUUAUCGAAAUAAAAUUACCUAAAUUUAUUAACAUAUUCAAAACAUUUGUACAUAAUAUAUACAAUUUCUCCAAAAUUUAAUAUAAAAAAUAGCUUAAUUUUAAAAUUUAAAAAUAACAAUUUUUUGCAACCUUACUUAAAAUUAAAAAAUCAACUUCCGGCGACAUUUAAUCGCACGCCUUUCUAUAGAGGUGCGCCGGAUAUUUCCAAGCUCAUUUAAAUCACUGAAAUCUGGCAUCAUCUGAAAGAUCACCUCACACCCCCACUGAUCCUGAAAAAAAAAACAAAAAACAAAAAAUUAAUAAAUGAAAAAAAUUAAUGUAGGUACCUACAUUAAACUUAUUAAAAAAUACUUACAUAACUCAGUACCCUUGGCUGGUAUAUGGAGUACCAAAUUUCAACCACAACUGACAGAACAUAUCCGCAUGUGAUUGGGAUGGGUGCUCUUGUAUUCUGCGGACAAUCCUCACAAAAUUUUGGUCUCCGCAGAGAAAAUCGAAAUACGUACUCCAUGGGCUGAAACAGGAAAAAAUAGAAAUUGAAACAAUUCAAAACAGAAAAAUUCUUCAAUUUAUUUGAAAAAAUAUGCAUAUUUCAAAAAAAAUUACCUUUUCCACUAGGGCGUAAUUUACAGGCGUGCUUUCAAAAGAAAGCUUUCGUUUUACACCCCUUGGGGGGGGGGGCUCGUUGGCGCCAUUGAGAGGAACCUCCGAUUGUCCUGAAAAUUAAAAAUAAUUCGUUAGGUACAGGUAAGUAUAUGCAUGCAACAUAUAAUGUAAAAUCAAUAGGUACUAACCUUGUUAUAAAUUCUAUUAAACGGGAAGGUGAAUGCAUCAGAUGACAGGGAGUAUUCCAUGCACUCCAUGGAUGCGUCAAAGGUUAUGGAGUAUUCCAUUCUCUCCACAUCCACCACUUUCAUUGGAGUUGAGCAGGUGAAGACUCCAGCACAGAAACUCUGAAACAAAAACUUAAAAUUAGAGGAAUAUGUCAAAAACACUCCAAAAUUACUUAAAUUACAAUAAAAACACGAAAAAAAUCGAAUAAAAACAUGAAAAAAUCGAAUAAAAACCUAAAAAAAUCGAUUAAAUUGAAAAAAAAUGAUUUGAAAAAAUAAAAACGAUAAAAUACACACAAAUGUGCGUAAAUACGACCAGAAACGAGUUGAAAAUUGAAUUAAAAACGUGUUAAAAUUACGCAAAUUACAAUAAAAUAAUGAAAAUUUCACCAUAAAAACAUUUAAAAAUAAAUACACAUGAAAAUCGACUAUAAAAAAUUUUUAAAAAUAAAAUAACGCGAAAUGCGGCAAAAAACACAAUUUCACCCCCCCCCCCAAAAAAAAAAAAAUUAAAACACCCAAAAAUGAAGAAAAAUACGCGAAAAUGUAUGUAAAUAUGAUUAAAACGACAUCAAAAUCGAUAAAAAAAAUUCAAAAAACAUCCACAAAUCGAUAAAAUAGACAAAUUUGAUCCAAAAAACGAUAAAAAACACGAAUUACGAGUUAAAAAUACGAGAAAAUCGGCUCCAGUGCUCUCAUUCCCCGAUUCUCAUUUUUUAUAUGCAUCCUUGAUAGGUUGGAACUUGUUUUCAACCUGUGUAGCAGUCAGUACUUGGCCUUGUUGAGUCAUUUCUUCAGCAAUACUCUUAUACAGGUGGCUCACUGAUUUGAAUUUUUUACCACCUGAAGGUUUCCAUUCCUCAUACAUAUAAAGCGAGCAUAAACUACACUAUGUUCCUUGGUGGCAUACGUGGAAUUUCGAGACGAGUACAAAUUGAAAUCCCCACCAACAACUGCUGGACGGUCGAAGCUGGAGGUGAUGAAAGCCAACUUGUCCAUGACCGGAAUUAGAUUGGUGGCUAGUGGACGAGUACGAAUGGGUGGUACGUACACUGAGACAAAUAGGGCACCUAGAACUGUUGCCGGGACAAUAUCAGUGCCUUGGGUUUUCAGGACAGAAAAUGGCAGUUUAUGGUGAAUCAAUAAAGCGGUGUGAUUGUUCAGUAUAAUAUUCCACCCACUGAAUGAAAGGGUGCCAUUAUAAAGGUAGGGAUCCGACAGUAGAACGAUGUCCACCUUUUUCUGGAUUGCCAACACGUGAAGCAAUGAAGUACUCAUUGCAUCAUGGUUGGCAUUGAACUGAAGCACGGAUAGUUCACUGGCCAUGAUUUUGUUCUGAGUCGGAUCCUCCGUCCGUUGCUGCUGGGAUUUUGUAGAGUUGGUAUUGACCUUCGAUUUUUUGGAUCUGCCUAUUCAGUAUUGGGUAGCAGUAUUGUCCAGUGGUAUGAUCCGAAGCGGUGACUAAACGAUAACAAGGAAGCUUACAGCACUUGAUUUCGGAAUUAUAGAAGUGACAGUCUUUGCACUCCAUUGCUUGGAUGUUGGAUGGAACUAGUUCUUUAAAUCGACAGUAUUUUGUUGGGUGACCAGAUAUACCGCAAUCACCACAUCUGACCACUUGUAUACUGCUGUCAACAGGACAACGAUCGUAUCCUAUUUUUAUCGUAGAGUGUCCAGUGGACUCCAAGUACGUUUCAUAGUCCGAUUUAAUAAAGGCGAUAACAACGUUGGCUUUUUUGGUGUCUUUAUAUUUAACAAACUUCACUUCAAGCGGAUGUUGGCCCCAGGACCGGCAGACGUCAAAGGUGAUUUGAUCCACAGUAGUAUCGCAGGGUAUGUUAUGAAUACAGACUUCAUGACAGCGGCUCUGUGAAGUUUUAGUACCCAAACCUGGUAGGGAAUUAACGGAUUCAGAGAAUUUCUGAGCAGUGGCCUUAUCCCGGCAUUUACCUGAUAGAAAUUUUAUUGCCGCGCGGAGAUUCAACUUUCUAGGGUCGAGGUUUUUCCGGAGUAUGUCGGUGACUGGAGUUUUCUCAUUCUUUUCGGGAACCAUGAGGGCAUUAUUGUCUGACAGUAGUCAAGAUUUUGGUUGUGGUUGCACCCGAGGAGGUGGCUGGUCUUGCAUGGACUGUUGGUGAUUCCGAGCCUCGCAGUCUUCCUUUUCACGAGCCUCGAUUCGGAGAAGUGCGCGCUGCGGAGCCUUGCUGAAUUGCCACGCUUUGUUAUCAUUGGUGGUGUCAGCAACUGAGCGAUGUUCUUUAUUAAGUUGUCGAGUAGUGGAGGCAGUACUUCGUUGACUGGCUACCGAUGCAUCGCGAUUAUGAUGUGCCUUGUUCUGCAACUCUAGAGAGUUCCGUCGGGACUGAGUCUUUCGCCUAUGAUUUUGCAAGUUCAUUCAAUUGAAAUUUGUAAAAAAUUGAAAACAAAAUUAAAUCAUAAAGUAGUAGUUCCAAGUUCACUAAAUAAUGCAUAAAUCAAUAAGUAAUGAAUACAGUUACCACUACUGACCAACUGAGGAACUGGAACUGGAUACUAACACUCGUGCUGCUUCCAGCUUUACAAUGUAAAUUACAUUUUCUGAAAUAUGAAAAUUGAUUAUUAGAUUAAUGUUAAAGAGUUUUAAGUUACAAUAACAAUAAAUAUGAAAACAGUCAUACUUUUUUGAUGAGCAGUAGGUACACUUUAAGAACUCAUUUUUUUCGCAAUUCAAAACUUUAAUAUUAAACAAAACUUUAGGAAAUUUUAUUUAAUUAAGUGGAAAUGGAAAGUGUAAUAAAAACUUUAUCCAGGAAUUCUUUCAUCAUUCAUUCAAGUGAUGCGAUGUCAAUUAUGCCAGUUACUAAUUAAUUGAGAAACUGAACUAUUUUGAAUAUAAAUUUAUUGUAUGAAACUUUACACUGUACAAAAACCUAAAGUACCAUGGCCAGGCUGGCAUCCUUUCAAGGGGAUAUGAUGGUACAACCUAUUGAAGAACAAAUUAUGCAUAUCUUAUUUUUUAUAAUUAUACAUUAAUAUUUUAUCGCAACACCAAUAAAAAAAAUACUCAUCAGAAAAAACUUAUAAUUAAAAGAAAAAAAAAAUCAUUUCGGUUCUGUGAUGUUUUUGAGAGAACAACAAAAUUUUAACACAAGAGAGAGGCAUUAAAAAAAAAUUUGAAGGAGAUCUGACAAGAAAUUUGAGGGAGUUGGGCACACAUAACACCAUAAAAAUUUAAAAAUACUUACUGAAAAUAUUUUACAAACUUGAAGUAGAAUGAACUUCCAGUAUUGAGCACAUAGGCUGCGCAUAUGUUCUUCUGCUUUAAAGAGUAAGCUUGGGAAAACAUUUAGUAAUCACUCUGUCAUAUUUUUCAAUUAAUUUCAGGAAUUGAGCAUCUUCUAUUGUCAACACUGUAGAAACAGAAACAUCCUGAAUACAUAGUUUUCAAUGCUGGAUAAGCAUAUUAAUUAGAAUCACAUUUCUUUCUCAAUCUUUCUUCUUGUUUUUGGCCGUAUUUGAUCAAAUCUUCACGUUUAACAUAUGCCAUGCCUAUGUCACUUUGGCGAAAGGCAACUGCGUUCACAGUACAAUUCUUGUACUCGCCUGGAACUUUAUAUUUUCUAACAUAAAUCUGUCGUAAAGCAAUAAUAAGCCUCUUUUUCAUUUCUUCAGUACUUGUGUUCUUCUUUUGCAAGAACUUAGAUUCAAAUAUGUACGCUGGCUUGGUUUCGUCACUAGGAAGCAAAAUCAUAUCAGCUACGCCAUACCCUGUGACACUUUCCAAGUCACGAUUAUACUGUUGGCAGAUAACGAAGUAUCGGAACACUCCAUUUCAGAAGCCAUUUUCGUUAUGGAUACCUCCAUGCAUUUCUUCAAAACACUUCACAAGGAAUGGCUGUCCUAAUAACUGCGCCAAUUUUGUUAACUUCAAACGCGAGCUUAGAUUUUUAAAAAGUUUAUUUCCUUGAACCCAACAGGAAUGAGGCACACAAAUACAGAAAUUGUUAGUUCUUUCACUCCAAAAAAAAAAAAAAAAACAAGAAUGAGUGAAAUUGAAAUAAAUUUAAUCGUGCAAAUUUAAAAUUAUAAAAUAGUCACCAAAUAAUAAAAUUUACAACAUGCAUAAAAUUAAAUAACUUAAACAUUAAAAUUAACUUACAACAAUUGAGAAUUCAUUUUUCUUAUGGUAAAAUAUUUCGUAGCAGCGGAACAUUUGACCUUCUUUCAGACAAUUAUAGAAUUUGACAUAUCCUCUUUCAGUAGCAAUUAAAUCAGCUUUAUCACUCUUGUUAGGACUGGAUAUUAUUUUAGGAUUAGGUAUUCAAUACCUUUGAUUUACAUAGAUAACUGCAAUCAUUUACAAAAUGAUCCGUUGCACCAGAAUCACUCUAGAGUAUCAUUACUAACUCUUACAGGUAUACAACUUUUUACUAUUACCUUUAGAUCGCACCACUGCUAUGUUUGCAUGACCAUGACCAUUAUCAGACAAAGAUGAUGAAUUGCUUGUAGAAGAAGAGGGUGAUGACAAACUACUGGUCGAUGUAGAUCUCUUGUGCUUCGCAGAACGCGCCGAUGAUUUUUUAGUUUUUCUAGAAUGAAGGUGUUUUUGUUUACAGUAACCUGAUGGCUUUUCCUUUUUACUUCAGGGACCACCACGACCAGAUUUUUCUUCUCAGUGUGAGGCUACUUCUGUUUGUGUUUGCAGACCAUUAUAGUUUCUGUUCUGGUAAUUGGAAUUAUUCUGAUCAUAAUUUCUAGCUCUCUGGUUCUGGAAGCAAUCCUUUGUUAGAUGUCCUGUUUUAUGACACACAUAACAUAUAGCCUCUGAUCUGAAAUUGAUUUUCUAUCUUUUAUUAAUCUGGCACUGGCAGGAGUGUUGAGCCAAUACCUUUAUUUGGCACAUAGCCAGGUGCAUUAAUUUCAGCUUCCAUUGACCUCAGAAUUUUUUAGCACAUUUCUCUAUUUAUACUGGCUAGAGAGUCGGCCGCUUUUCUCAGACAUCAAACAGCUGACCUUACUUGAGUUUGUUGUAUCAGAGACAGAAUCAGCUGCCAUUGACCUCAGAAUCUUUUAGCACAUUUCUCUAUUUAUACUGGCUGGAGAGUCAGCCGCUUUUCUCAGACAUCAAACAGCUGCCUUUACUUGAGUUUGUUGUAUCAGAGACGGUUUCAGCUACCAUUGACCUCAGAAUUAUUUAGCACAUUUCUCUAUUUAUACUGGCUAGAUAGUCAGCAGCUUUUCUCAGACAUCAAACAGCUGCCCUUACUUGAGUUUGUUGUAUCAGAUACGGAUUCAGCUGCCAUUGACCUCAAAAUUUUUUGGCACAUUUCUCUAUUUAUACUGGCUAGAGAGUCAGCAGCUUUUCUCAGACAUCGAACAGCUGCCCUUACUUGAGUUUGUUGUAUCAGAGACGGAUUCAGCUGCCAUUGACCUCGGAAUUUUUUAGCACAAUAACAGCAUAUUAAUUAGAAUCACAUAUUCAAAAAUUUGAAAUUUUUCUUUCAAACAGUAAUGCUCACUUGUAGUGUUCAAUAUUUUGCCAGUUCCUUCCAGUGCUCAUUCCACAAUUCCCUUUUUUUAUAUGCAUCCUCCAUAGGUUGGAACUUGUUUUUAAUGUGUGUAGCCCUCAGUUGUUGGCCAUUUCGAGUCAUUUCUUCAGAGAUACUCUUAUAUAGGUGGCUCACUGAUUUGAAUUUUUUACCAACUGAAGGUUUCCAUUCCUCAUAUAAAGCAAGCAUUAAUCUGGUGAUUUUAGAGUCCCAAUGAAAAUGUUUAUGGGAUGAGUCAUGAGCCGGAUAAGGUACCGGCACUGGUUUCAGCAUGGUUUUCACCUGUUGCUGUAAUACUCUGAAAUGUAGAAUAACUCAUUGUAAAAUUUUACUAAGUACUAAAUGAAAACUUCCAAGAAUUUAGAUAACUCACAAUAGGUUCUAAAAGUGCUCAUCUGUUGUACCAGCACCAAGUACUAACAACAGUUUGAGUAAGUCUUAUGUUAACCUAACCUAUCCUAGUCUAGCCUAAAAUACUUGAAAUAAACCUACCUAUUUUUUCCUAAAAGAAUUUGAAAUAGGCGAAAAGAUAGGCAUAAUGAAACAGACAGAUAGGCAGACGAAGUCAAAUCAAAUAGGUCGAAAAUAUUGUAAAGUUGAAUCAAAAUUGAGAGGCACAUGAUAGAGGCUAAAGUUGCAUAAUAUAAAGUUGAAUCUAAUUAUAAGACAUUAUAGUUGAAUCAAGUUCAAAGUUACAGUUGAAUGAAUCAAAUUAUGUCGAAUUAAGGUCAUGUUGAAUCUAAAUUAAAGUUGGAUAAAAUCAUUGAAAUCACAGUUGGAUCGAAUGUCCAAUAUUAAUAUCAACUAUUUACAACAGCACUAGUCAGAGGUUAUUAAAUAAACCUAAAACUAAAAUAAUCCCCAUAAAACCACCUUGGCAUACCUAAAAACUAAUAUCAUAAAGUGCUUCCUUGAGCACGCUGAUUCCGCAGGAAAGGUGGCUGAAUCACGUCAAUAUCUUUUGCUUUGCAUUCGUCCGUAAUAAAAAAAACCUUUAUCAGCCAUUAAGCAAUCUCUGGGACUCAGUUUAUCCAACAAGUUGCAAUCCAAAAAUAUGAAUUUAUCGGAAGCGCGUAUGUGCCACUGUGCGCUUUGCCACGAGGAAUCAUUUUUUGCCGCGCAGUAAGAGCUAUAAUAUAAGUCCAGAUCUACACCCUUAAUGGACAUGAGCUUCCCCCAAAAAGGGUGCCAUCGCUGAAGGCACACGUGCCGAAGACGUGGUGUUUCGACCAUAAAUUAAAUCUGGAGAAAUUAGAAUUGCCGCCAAAAUUCACUCCACCAGCGAAUGAAAUGAAUCGCAUGUGUAUUCUACCUUCAAAAGGAAGGAUCAUUAUCGUCACUUCAUUACGCAAAUGCCAGCAGUGGGAAACUUACUUUUGUAACAACCCUCAUAAUUUUACUUGAUUGUGUGAACUGAAAUUGUCGACAGUCAAGAAAACAGAUGUUUUAGUAAAAUUUCACCAUAAAAGUUUUUUUUUACUUUUUUUGAAACUGAAAUUGCAAAAAUUGCAAAAAAAAACUAUUGUUGCGGCCAAAAUUUUCAGAAGGAGAGAGCUUUUUACAAGAAAGUAACCUUUUUUUGUCGCUAAAAAUUGUUUUUUUUUCAUUGCCAAAAAACGCCAUUUAUAAUCGCUAAUGAGCGUUAUAUCUUGAUCAAUUUUUCAUUGGUUAUGGUUUAAAUGGAGUACAUUGUCUAAAGACCUGAGCAAAUCCGGUUGUGUGAAAUCAGUGUUAUAAUCAGCUUUUACUGUAUGUAAAGUAGAAGGGUUUUCAUCAGUUAUAUCAAAUUAUUUACUGAUAAUGGUGAUAAGUGAAUGUCAUUUAGUGAAUUUUUGCAAUUUUUUUAAACCAAAAAAAUGGAUUUACCUAAAUAUGAUUUCACAACUUCUUCAUUUACAUGAUACUCUGGGAAAUGAAAAUAUGGAACUGUUUGAUGAUUAUUCCGACGAAUAAAGAGCUAGAUUUUGAAAUGGAAUUAAUUUUUCAGUGUUUUGUAACUGUUGCAAGAGUGUGAAUGAUGAAUUUUUAUGAAGAAGUAGUUCUUUUGCGCUCUCAUAAAAAAGUUAUCAGCAUUUUUGAUUUUCAAGUUAGGUACGUAGAUAUUUUUGAAUACGUACGAGAAAAAUUUUAUAAAUUUUAUUUUGUUUUUGGAUUUUUGGAAUGCUAGAGUAAGUAGUAAACUGUAAUGGAUCGACCGCCACAAGUCUAAAAGACCAACCGUAUACAGCUUUAACGGUUUCGGAUUAACAAGGAUUAAUAUAAUAUGGAGUAAUAUAAAGUAGAAAUAUAAUAUAAAGUAAUAUAAAGUAGAAAAUCGAACCGCAAAUAUAAUCUGAUAUGUAGUGAUAUGCAGCGUCUGGCAGUCAUGAACCAGCAAGCGUUAGCAAAUACCGGAACAUAGACGGAGAAAUUGAAUCAGAUUUCAGAAUCCACUAUGGGAAAAUAAUAUUUGACGGUUUUUAGAAAUUGUAUAAAAUGAUAAAACAUAAAAAGAGAGUAUAUAUAAUAACCUAAGUUAAAAAGAGUAAGUAAAACGUUGAUGAUAGUAACUGUUAUGACACAAGCUCUUUUACACAUUCUUACGGAACAUGUUGACGCCCGCAGUGGUGACGCGAGCAAAGACUGGGAUACUCGUAGUUGGUAUGAAGUGUUGGUAGAGUUUCGAUAUUUUAUGAUGAACACAUAAAACAUGAUAAGUAAGCAUAAUAAAAAUAAUGACAGUAAGUACAAAGAUAAGAUGUAAAGGUUCGGUAAGUACGUUACGAAAAAGAUACUGCCAAACCCGCAUGAAGACAUUCGGAGAAUAACACUCGUCAAAGGUAUCAGCAGAGACGUAGGUAGAAGUGUAAUUGCAAUAGCAGUUUGUACCGUUUUGCGGAAAAACUUGACAAUGAUCGUAUGAAAGAGUCCUACAAUAUCUGCGGUCAGCCAAUGAACAAUCUGCGGUGCUAGGAUCUGGUGCGGUAGUUGUUUGAGCUAAGUUGCCAGGAAUGACGAUGAAUAAUAAGGCAAUAGGCAUCCAAGCAGCAGUGCGAGUAGAAAACUUUCCCGAGAUGAAAGCAACAGACAAGAUGGCAGUAAUAGCGAUGUGUAGCCAUUGUAACCAACCAGGGAACUCUGAAACCACACCGCGUAAUUUAUCGAUGUCCUUAUCGAGAGAUGUAAUAUCGUUGUAAAUUUGUUUGGUGUUAUUUUUAAAGCGUUGUUCAGUCUUAGUAAUUUUACCGUCAAUAUCUUCAUUGAUCUCUGAAUACUUAUGAUGUAUCUCGGAAAUAUUUUGUAAUAGUUGAUUAGGUGCAAUUGGAUUUCGAGGUUUUAAUUCAAAAGUAUCACGAUAAACGUUGUCGAUAAUAGUAGAAAUUUUUGAUGGAUCUGGUCCUUUAUAAAUAGUAGAAGUAGCUAAGUGAAUGGAAUCGGGUAUUAAAUUGGACCUGGGAUAUACGAAUUUUAAUUCUUUAUCACUACACUGCUUAUGUGUAAGAUCAAUGGUAUUUUCGCUGUUAUCCAAUUGUGAUGUAAAUUUAUAUACGACCUGAUCACAAGGUAAAAUCAAAGUUGUACCAGCAGGGAUCUGUAUAGAAUUAUUGGAGUAAUCGAGUUUAGAAGGAAAAGGUAAAUAAACUACAUUAGGUGGUACAUAAGUUAGUUGUAAAUUUGAACAAUUGGUAAGAGCUACGGUAUUGUCAGUUAAAGGUGAAUGAUUAGAUAAUACGUCUGACUUGCAAUAAUGAUUAAUACCAAUAGACAUACAUGUUGUAAAUUUUGAAAAAUCAUAGCAAGAAUCUUUGAAACAUAAUACUCUCCCAUUAAAAUUGUUAGUAUAACAUUGUUUAGAAGUACUGUUGUAAUAGGUGAGAGGGUGAUAGUUAAAAAGAGUUGGUAAGACUUCGGUUUUAUGGUCGCGAGUAAUCACAGGGAUGUAAAGAGUGACUUUAAAAUCCAUCAUAUCACCUUGAUUAUUUUCUGUACUAAACGUGAGGUCAUUGUAUAUGAAAGAAGAACGUUCGCUAUUAGAAAGUAAUAGAUUAUAGGAAUUGAGUAAGGAGACAAAUUUUUCAGGAAGUUUUUCUGAACUCUGUUCCAAUAAGCUAUAAGAACCAACUGAAAUACCGGUAAGUAGGCCGUUGUAGUGAUGAUAAUAAGAAUUGCGAUAGAAGGCGUGCAGAUGGAGUAGAUUGAUAAAAAUUCCAAUAGAAAUACAAAACUUUUUAUCCCUAAAAACCAGACAAAUGAAAACCCAAAUCACAUAGUUCCUAAAGUGUGGAGUUUGGGUACUUCAUUAAUAUAAUCACGAAGCUUCCACAAUUUGAAAAAAACAAUGAAUAGAAUUACUUACUUAAUGAUGUGACAACUUUUUCUAGUUAUGACACGCACUACAAAAUGACACUUUAAACGGAUAAAAUAAAGGUAUUUUAAGUUAACUUUACAUAUUGACCUAAUUCAGAGGUUAUCACUCAAAAAAGAUCGCGUUUUGCUUUUAAUUCAAAAACUAAGCGUCUGACCAAAAAACGCCAAGACGCGAAAGUUGUUUAGAAUUCGAUUUUACACCUUGAGGUUUUGCUAUUUUGUUUUAGCGACGGGAUAUAUUAAUUGUAAAAUACAAAGGAAAAUAUGUAAUGCGUGUAGUGAUAUAGGUACCGAUUGUGAUAAUUCAUAUACAGCGACUACGAAUUCUAUAUUGUAAAAUUUCAGCAUCUCCUUUAAAAUACGUUUAUUCGUCGUAAAUGAUUGCGUCGUCUCUAAUGCCAACAUUUCAACGUAACCGGCGAAUAAAGGGAAUUGUGUAAGGAACUCGGUUGGGAAACGAAUCUUCACUGGCCGAAUCUCAUGCGAUGACAUGGCAAAGGCCAAGUCAUGAAUGUAUUGCUGAAAUUUGAAGAAAAAAGUUUUUAAUAAAAAAACAAUAUAAAAUGUUUUUUUGAGAAAAAAAAAAUACAAAAAAAUACAAAAAAAAAUACACUUACAAGGGACCUCCAAUAAAAUUUAUUAAAGUACCAGCAUGAAUAGCUGCUACAAGGCUCCCGAGGGCCGUCUGUUCUUCUAAACAUAGCCCCAGGAGCCUCAUGUACAUACUUGGAAUCGUUCCUCGUUUGAAGUAUGCAGUACUGGAACCAUGCCAGUCUUGGUUCUCAUGACUGCAUCUAAAGACUGGCGCUGACUGGAGCGGAAAUCUGGACGCUUCUUCGGUGGGGUUCUAACAUCGCUCGGACCUAAAUUUAUAACUUCUGUAAAAACAAAAGAUACCUUAAUUAGAAAAAAAACAAAAAAAAACGAAAAUCAAAAUACCUAUCCUAAAUUUGACAAUUUUUUUUUGAAAAUUUGAAAAUAACAUAUGAUGAUUUGCGAGAAAGGAUGAGAGGUCAAUAUUUGAUUAAUUAUACGUGAAAAACACUUUUCACACUUUUCAUUGAACUUUUCGAUUUUCAUUUAACCAAAAUUAAUUUUCUGAAAACUGCAAAGUUCAACUCAAAAUUAUAAAAAAUAAUUUCGAAGAUGGAAGACUGCAUUUAUACAUUUUUGUUAAUAAAAAAAAAAAAAAUUUAUUUAAGAACUAUUCAUACCAAUACUAGGUGAUCGUCUCCUCUUCACCCAGUCCUUUCAACACCUGCAGGUUAGGGGUUUGCAUAAAUAACACCUGCGUGGUUAAUGGUUGGUGGAGGUCUCCUUUUUGUUUUUUUUAAACGCACGAUAAAGAUUGGAAUAAUGAAUGUCUGAAAUCACAAACGGAGAAGUUGAAUUUUGAUAAUUUUUAAUCAUUUGAAAAUAAUGAAAUUCUUACUCACCAACUUAGCAACUCCUCUGACUGAUAAACAAUUAUUAGGAUCUUUGAGAAUAUCCAGACCCUUUUUCAAUUUAUCUUGAUCCACAUGAAAAUGUCUUUUACCUCUGGGAUCUGGUUUAUAUUUCCGCAUUUUGAUGCUGAAAAAAAAGUGUUUCUAUUCACUCCAAAAACCACAAAAUUUUGACGGAUUCACUGUCAUUUAGUAUAAAUAAAUUUUAUGAUGGAAAAUUAUGACAGGACGCUCAAGCUUAGGACAUGAGCUAACGUGUUGAGGUCUUUCUCUCUGAUUGCGCUGACGACACAAGAAUCGGAUAACCGAAGUCCAAUGAGUUCAAUUUCUGAAGGUGUCGCCAUUGUGUGCAAUUCCUGAACUGCGUUGUACGCUAGGUACAAUUGUACAUAGAAAAAUGAAAAGCCCAAGGACUCUGCCAAUUUGUGAUAACAGAAAACAGGGUUUAUUUUAGAAAUUUAGAAACUCCAAAACAUACUCUUUUUAAAAUGGUUAUUAUUGAAAAAUACACAACUGUAUAAAAGUUUCAGUAAAAAGUUGAUUAUGAACAAAUACGUACAAUACAAUUCACAAAGUUUGAUAAAGUUACGGAAUAAGUAACAAGUACUUUUAAGUACUACAGGUAGCACAAUAACUAGUUACAAUUAAAUAAGUCAGCAGAGUAAGCUUCAUAUGACCGGACAUUCACGCCUAAGGCAUGUGCUAAUAUCUUUUAGUCUUUCUCUCUGAUUGCGCUGGCAACACAAGAAUCGGAUAACACUGAUAACAGAAGGGCAAUGAGUUUAAUUUCUGAAGGUUUCACUAUUGCGUGCAAUUCCUGCACUGUGUUGUACACUAGGUGCAUGGAAAAAUGAAAAGCCUAAGCACUCUGCCAAUUUGCGAUGAUAGAAAACCGGGUUUAUUUUAGAAAUUUAGAACUCCAAAAUAUUCUCUUUUAAAAUGUUUAUUAUUGAAAAAUACAAAAUUGUAUAAAAGUUUCAGUAACUACCCACUGCAUUAAAUCUCCAAUGGAAAGGAUUCCAGUCAUCAUUGCUAGAUGCUCCUCCCAAAUAAGUGCCAAGUAACAUAAAAGCCACAGGUAUGAGUAAUGCAAACUCACCAUUAGGAUCAACCAUGGAUGCAGGUGAAUUGCCAGCAUAUUUGUAUUGACUAAAAUAUUGUUCAUUCGGAUCAGGCUGGUAGAAGCGACCAAUGCUUUGAUCAUAAAGACGAGCAUGAAAAUUGUAUAAGUUCAUUUAAUCAUCUAAUUCUUGACUGAGAUAAAGAUAUGAAAAAUCACAAUUUGGGUAUCUAAUGUAUUUUCGCAUCAUUUCACCAUAAGGUGGAAACGUCUCCUCGAAUCGAUUGUGAAAUUCUACAGCUGGAGGAAGAAUCUCCUGGUUAUUGUUUACUCUCCUCAAGACAUCAAGCAAAUUGUUCUGAGGAAAGAAAAAUCAUUAAUAUCCAAUUUUAUAAUACCAAAAAACCAAAAAAAAAUGUAUAAAAUUAUCUUUAUUUGCCAAUAAUGACAAUUAAAAUAGUGACAUGACAAUUAAAACAGUGACAUGACAAUAGGGAGCAUACUGAAUGCCACCCCAUAUGAUUCUUGCCCUCCCAGUACCCAGCGUCAGAGGAACAUAACGUUAUAUUCUCGUCCACUGAGGACUCCAAUAUUCGUUGGCCAAUCUUUGUUGACCUUUACAAUCGACAUACUGAAACAAAAAGUAGAAUCAGAAUUUUUCUUUUCAAGGAAAACUCAAAAAAAAAUAAUAAUAAUAAAAAAAAGUAAACACUCUUACCCAGCUGUUCUCAACUGCAUGUCUCCCUGGAGCAGGGUCGACAACAGGCUCCACAUUUAUUGAUUCAAAAAUAGGCACAUUUACAAGUCUGACGACAGGCCUCUCAUUUGAACGGCUGGCAAUAGGUUCUUGAUUCGAGAGACCAGCAACAGGCUCUAUUUUCAUAAGUGCAUUGGAAGACGACACCUCCGGAUCUGGUGUCCUGAGGCACUCUUCCAUGCCCACCAACCCUGAAAAAAAAAACUUACCCACUGCAUUGCCAGCAUAUUUGUAUGGACUAAAGUAUUGUUCAUUCGGAUCAGGCUGGUAGAAGCGACCAAUGCUUUGAUCAUAAAGACGAGCAUGAAAAUUGUAUAAGUUCAUUUCAUCAUCUAAUUCUUGACUGAGAUAAAGAUAUGAAAAAUCACAAUUUGGGUAUCUAAUGUAUUUUCGCAUCAUUUCACCAUAAGUUGGAAACGUCUUCUCGAAUCGAUCAUGAAAUUCUACAGCUGUAGGAAGAAUCUCCUGGUUAUUGUUAACUCUCCUCAAGACAUCAAGCAAAUUGUUCUGAGGAAAGAAAAAACAUUAAUAUCCAAUUUUAUAAUACCAAAAAACCCAAAAAAAAUGUAUAAAAUUAUCUUUAUUUGCCAAUAUUGACAAUUAAAAUAGUGACAUGACAAUAGGGAGCAUACUGAAUGCCACCCCAUAUGAUUCUUGCCCUCCCAGUACCCAGCCUCAGAGGAACAUAACGUUCCUAUUAUACUCGUCCCCUGAGCACUCCAAUAUUCGUGGGCCAAUCUUUGUUGACCUUUACAAUCCACAUACUGAAACAAAAAGUAGAAUCAGAAUUUUUCUUUUCAAGGAAAACUCAAAAAAAAAAAAUAAUAAUAAUAAUAAUAAUAAAAAAAAGUAAACACUCUUACCCAGCUGUUCCCAACUGCAUGUCUCCCUGGAGCAGGGUCGACAAAACAGGCUCCACAUUUAUUGAUUCAAAAAUAGGCACAUUUACAAGUCGGACUACAGGCCUCUCAUUUGAAGGGCUGGCAAUAGGUUUUUGAUUCGACAGACCAGCAACAGGCUCUAUUUUCAUAGGUGCAUUGGAAGACGACACCUCCGGAUCUUGUGUCCUGAGGCACUCAUCCAUGCUCACCAACCCUGAAAAAAAAAACUACCCACUGCAUUAAAUCUCCAAUGAAAAGGAUACCAGUCAUCAUUGCUAGAUGCACCUCCCAAAUAAGUGCCGAGUAACAUAAAAGCCACAGGUAUGAGAAAUGCAAACUCACCAUUAGGAUCAACCAUGGAUACAGGUGAAUUGCCAGCAUAUUUGUAUGGACUAAAAUAUUGUUCAUUCGGAUCAGGCUGGUAGAAGCGACCAAUGCUUUGAUCAUAAAGACGAGCAUGAAAAUUGUAUAAGUUCAUUUCAUCAUCUAAUUCUUGACUGAGAUAAAGAUAUGAAAAAUCACAAUUUGGGUAUCUAAUGUAUUUUCGUAUCAUUUCACCAUAAGGUGGAAACGUCUCCUCGAAUCGAUCGUGAAAUUCUACAGCUGGAGGAAGAAUCUCCUGGUUAUUGUUAACUCUCCUCAAGACAUCGAGCAAAUUGUUCUGAGGAAAGAAAAAACAUUAAUAUCCAAUUUUAUAAUACCAAAAAACCAAAAAAAAAAAGUAUAAAAUUAUCUUUAUUUGCCAAUAAUGACAAUUAAAAUAGUGACAUGUCAAUAGGGAGCAUACUGAAUGCCACCCCAUAUGAUUCUUGCCCUCCCAGUACCCAGCCUCAGAGGAACAUAACGUUACUAUUAUACUCGUCCCCUGAGCACUCCAAUAUUUGUGGGCCAAUCUUUGUUGACCUUUACAAUCGACAUACUGAAACAAAAAGAUUUUGAAAACUUACCUCCGAGUCAGUGUGCAAAAUUGAUAAAGGAAGAUGUAACUUCCAUGAGAUUCAAGUUGAAUCUUAAAAAAAAAAAAAAAAAAAAAAAAACGAAAACAUUAGUUGAUGAAACACAAAAAUAUUUGUUUUAAAAAAAGACUUACCCAUUAAAUUGAUAGUUUUGGCUCCGUUUUUUUCUGUAGUGUUGUAUAAAGAAUGCCAGGAAUGCAAAUAUGGCAGCAACAAUUAUUAAUUCAAGAAACAUUCCAGCAGAAUAUGGAGUUGCCUUUUAAGGUGGAUUGGCAUUCUCACUCAAUUUUACGAAUUGCAAAAUUGUAGACAUUUAAUGUGAAAAAAAAGGAUUACUUUUCCAAAUUUACACUGUGUCCUGGUAAAAUUGUGGAACCAAUGUGCUUCAUCAUCAAAAGGAAGUUUGAUUUUUUUUAUCAUUGCCUCCAUUUUUUUUACCGUCAUUUUCAUUUUUUUUCUCCUCUUGUUGUUUCCAGUUGAUCUUUUUCUUCUACCAACACUGUGGGUGUUCCAUCCAACACCAGACUGUUCUGGCUGCGGAUCUAGUUGAUUAACACCUCUAUUCUUCUUCUUCUUAUCAACUUUUAUUCCAUGGCCCUGUGGAAAUUGAACAGUUUUACUUUAUAGCUCUCAAAUCCAAAAUCUGCGGAGUUGGGGGUACAGUGAUCUGAAAGGAAAUAAAUAGGUACCUUACCCAUGCAUUAAAAUCGCCAAACCAAUAAGCUUACAAAUUUUACUUUCUUACAAUACCCUCAUCUUGGAACAUGUUGUUCCCCAAUCUGCCUAUUGGUAAUAGUCGCCUGCAAAGCCUUUUAAAACGAGGCAGAUUUGCAUCACUAACUUCUAAAUUCAGAAUGUCAGUGUAAUAAAUAUGCCAUCCUUUAGCUCGGUGAUACUUCAAGAAGGCCAACUCUUGAAAAGCAAUAUUUGGUCUCUCUGCAGCAGUGAGUUGAGCUUCACGUAAUGCAUUGUUAUAAUUUCCUGGAGUACUUGAGUAUAUCGUCAUUCUUGUAUAGCUGUGUGCUAAUCUGUAACAGAAUUAUUUAUUGUACAAAAUUAGAAUUGAUCCAAAUUGCAAUUCUUAGAAAUUGAGGUUAAAACCCAGUUGAGUUUCAUUCAAAAGUACCACAGACGUAAUGUAGGAGUGAAACAUACGUAGGUAUAACCUUAUGAUUGAGACAAGAAUGAAACACAUACGUGAGUUGGGACCAACAAAUGAGAUAUUUUUUUUUCAAAUCUAUAUAAAUUUUUAUCUAAAUUUAUAAAGAAAAAUUGUUACAGAUUGAUGAGAAAAUUGCAAAUAAAGCGUGUACUUAUUGUAAAAUAUUGUUUAAUUUAUAAUAAAAACAACUUGAAAGUUGAUAAGUAGAUAAAAAAAAUCAAACUAAACUUCAAAAUCCACAACCAAUCACACAAAUAUGAAUAUCAACUGCGGUAUUCAAGUAUCUGUUUUUGGUGUUUUGUGAGGAGGAGGAUGAUGAUGGAUAAUACACAUCGCGUUAUUCACGACAACGUUUAACGAAUCACCACAUCCCGCACAAGUAUUCAUUUUCGUUGUUAACUAUAUGUCUACAACCUGCGAUAUACAACAAAAUAAACCACAACUAUCGGUUAUAAACCAACCUGUAAAAUAUAGGCGUCAGUGUUGCCAAUUUAGCGGUUUCCUAGCGAUUUUGAACAUAGAAAACCGCAAAAAAUGUCAAUCUAGCGGCCUCUGAAUUUUGUGAAACACAUGUUACCAGUACGUGUUUUACAGUAGGUACGGUGUAAACGUUUAGUGCCCCGCUAACUCCGUUAAUUCCAUUCUUUUAAAUGUUUUAAUGUAUUGUUUUAUGAUUUGUCAUCGUUAGCAUUAUCAGUGUAAUUUUGUGCGUGAACUGUGGUAAAUCGCUCUCCCUACGGCAUACUAUGUAGUCGUGUGUUGGCGUCGUAGAUUGUGAUAAAUUGAAAAAAAAUCCAUCGCCGGUAAUAGCGACAGCAGCAACGAAGCUUUUUAUCGCGUAUUCAUACGCUGCGUAGUAAAAACGCAAAAUGAAGGGUUACGUGUUUAUUUCAAAUACACGGACGGGAGUUACACCGUAAACAUUUUAGUUAUACGAAUAAAAAAACAGCGGGAAGUAAGGUGAUGCGAUGUAAAUUUUUUUUAUAUAUACUACUUUGCUUAUAGGCACGCACCAUAUAAAAAGUGAUUCUUGUAUAUUUGGUGUGGCAUUUCAUCUUUUGUGAGUUACCAAUACUGUCGGUCGUCUUCGUCGUCGUCAUCGAAUGCUGAUGUCGCUGCAGUUGCGGAUAUUGAUAAUUUUGUAAAAGAAGCUGUUGCUGCUGUUGCCAAUAUAGAUGGUUUUAUUAAAGAAAGUACUGCCACCUGGUCCACGUUAAAUCGAGCCAUUUACAAACUUUUUUUUUUUUUUUUUCUAGAUUUUGUAAAUGGAUCGAUUUAACGUGGACCAGGUGGACCAAGUGGACCAGCUUAUUUAUACUUAACUCAAAGUUAAAAAAAAUAAAAAAAAUAAUAAAACACAAUGCGACCGCUGUAUGUAUACAGCAUUUCCAAUUUUUUAUCCACGGGUUUAGUAAUUAAGAAUUCUGCGGUGCCAAAUAAUAAACAAAAAUAUUAAAUGUAUAUUUUUAUAAAACUAUAAAACAAUGCGAAAUAAUUAAAUAAUAUUACAGUUACAAGGACGAAUUCUUCAAACCAUGUAAUAUUAUAUAAGUUUUCUUAACUUUUAAAUACACGGUGCACUCGUA
Molecule: RNA transcript, 32763 nt
Organism: Planococcus citri (citrus mealybug)
Lineage: Eukaryota; Metazoa; Arthropoda; Insecta; Hemiptera; Pseudococcidae
Exons: 13
Source: RefSeq, a predicted model, not a curated record